UGGGGAAUAUUGCGCAAUGGGCGAAAGCCUGACGCAGCGACGCCGCGUGAGGGAUGAAGGUUUUCGGAUCGUAAACCUCUGUCAGAAGGGAAGAAACCGCACUGUGCUAAUCAGCAGUGCCUUGACGGUACCUUCAAAGGAAGCACCGGCUAACUCCGUGCCAGCAGCCGCGGUAAUACGGAGGGUGCAAGCGUUAAUCGGAAUUACUGGGCGUAAAGCGCACGUAGGCUGCUUUGUAAGUCAGGGGUGAAAUCCCACGGCUCAACCGUGGAACUGCCUUUGAUACGGCUUAGCUUGAAUCCGGGAGAGGGUGGCGGAAUUCCAGGUGUAGGAGUGAAAGCCGUAGAUAGCUGGAGGAACAUCAGUGGCGAAGGCGGCCACCUGGAGCGGUAUUGACGCUGAGGUGCGAAAGCGUGGGGAGCAAACAGG
RNAcentral lists this ribosomal RNA (429 nucleotides) under Fusobacteriota bacterium. Its description in RNAcentral is "Fusobacteria bacterium partial 16S ribosomal RNA". It matches the Rfam family "Bacterial small subunit ribosomal RNA", at positions 355 to 776 of the family's 1533-position model. The record is from RNAcentral. Lineage: Bacteria; Fusobacteriati; Fusobacteriota.